CCUCCUCUUCCUCAGGUGAGCAGCUUCUCCUUCAUCUCUGAGUCUUGAUGUUUUCAGCAGACGGUUAUUUAGCAGCUUCUUCUUUCUAGAGAGACCCACCAUCAUCUCUGGCUCUCCAGACCCACCUGGUCCAGGUUCUUCAGCCUCCUUACUGUUUGUCCUGGUUGCAUCUGGCUGUGGUUUGGUUUUCCUGGUGUUGCUGGUUGUUCUGGUUUUACUGGUGAAACGACGAGUUCAUAACAAACCUGAAGACAAUAAAGGAGGAAGAGGAGACGAUGACGUCACUUACAGCGACAUCAGGACAUCCCAGAGUAAACAGAAGAAAACCAAACCAGGAGCAGGAAAUGCCAGUGAAGCAUCUGGAGUUUAUUCAGCAGUAAAAUCAGGAGAUGUGACUUACGGAGAGAUAGUCAUCAACGAGAAGAACCAGAAGAAAAAGCAGAGGUCAAAGGCCAGAGAUUGUGAAGCAGCUGGAGUUUAUUCAGCGGUAAAAACAGGAGAUGUGACGUAUGGAGAGAUAGUCAUCAAUGAGAAGAAGAAGAAGCAGCAGAGGUCAAAGGCCAGAGAGAAUCAACCAGACCCAAAUGUUCUCUACUCCUCACUGAGGCCGCCCAGAGCUGACCUCUGACCUCCAGCAGCUGUUGGCUUCUCAUCACUGAGUCGGAUCUGCCUCACUGGGAUCAGUGGAUUAAAUCACGUUUAUAACUGGUUUCCAGUAGCAGGUCAGGAAACCAGUAGCAUCAGCUAGGUGUUGAGCUAACGGCUAACAGCAGCCCGAGCUAAUGGCUAACAGCAGCCCGAGCUAAUGGCUAACAGCAGCCCGAGCUAACGGCUAACAGCAGCCCGAGCUAACAGCUAACA
Non-coding RNA from Poecilia reticulata (guppy), 861 nucleotides. NCBI's taxonomy places the organism in Eukaryota, Metazoa, Chordata, Actinopteri, Cyprinodontiformes, Poeciliidae. The record is from RefSeq and is a predicted model, not a curated record.